AGCGAGUCUUAACUGGGCGCUCAGUCUCUGGAUAUAGACCCGAAACCGGGUGAUCUAGCCAUGGGCAGGUUGAAGGUUGAGUAACAUCAACUGGAGGACCGAACCGACUAAUGUUGAAAAAUUAGCGGAUGACUUGUGGCUAGGGGUGAAAGGCCAAUCAAACUCGGAGAUAGCUGGUUCUCCCCGAAAGCUAUUUAGGUAGCGCCUCGGACGAAUACUACUGGGGGUAGAGCACUGUUAAGGCUAGGGGGUCAUCCCGACUUACCAACCCUUUGCAAACUCCGAAUACCAGUAAGUACUAUCCGGGAGACACACGGCGGGUGCUAACGUCCGUCGUGGAGAGGGAAACAACCCAGACCGCCAGCUAAGGUCCCAAAGUAUUGCUAAGUGGGAAACGAUGUGGGAAGGCUCAGACAGCUAGGAUGUUGGCUUAGAAGCAGCCAUCAUUUAAAGAAAGCGUAAUAGCUCACUAGUCGAGUCGGCCUGCGCGGAAGAUGUAACGGGGCUAAGCAAUACACCGAAGCUGCGGCAAUGUCUUUUAGA
RNAcentral lists this ribosomal RNA (543 nucleotides) under Vibrio cholerae. RNAcentral's name for it is "partial 23S ribosomal RNA". It matches the Rfam family "Bacterial large subunit ribosomal RNA", at positions 676 to 1219 of the family's 2925-position model. The record is from RNAcentral. RNAcentral also lists the same sequence under 1 other name. Lineage: Bacteria; Pseudomonadati; Pseudomonadota; Gammaproteobacteria; Vibrionales; Vibrionaceae.